This 482-nucleotide unclassified non-coding RNA is filed under the name Eimeria tenella. RNAcentral's name for it is "5' external transcribed spacer". Lineage: Eukaryota; Apicomplexa; Conoidasida; Eucoccidiorida; Eimeriidae. The record is from RNAcentral.
GGCUGAACCAUACGCAGAUGGUGUGCAGAGUUGCGCUUGCGUAUAUGGAAGCUGCGGCAAUCAGGGUAGUCUCUUCUUGACAGAAUCAUGUUUGGAAGAAGCCAAAUGAAGGGUUAGAGGUAGGGCUGUGGGGCAGUAGUCACGCAGCGUGUGGCGACAGUGCUGCAUGCAGCGUUGUUUGUCCUGUUCCUCUCCUCCUCAGGCCGUUGCUGUUUGGCUUUGGAAGAAAAGAACAUGAUAGAGAGGCCCUCCGUCUGCUUUUCAGUCGAUCGGCAAGAGGAUUGUCUCUCUCCGCGUCGCCUGUGGGUCCGUCGCUACCGGUCUCUUAGUGUCCCUUCUCCUCUGUAAUUGGGUCACAUCGGCGUGACCUUGCUGAGAAGGAGUAGGCAUGUAAGAGCGUAGGGCUGGAGACGCAUGCGGGGGAGGGAGCGGCGUUUUUUUUGUCUCUUGUUUGGUCGAAGGAAGGCGUUGACGACAAUAGC